Molecule: non-coding RNA, 74 nt
Organism: Trichonephila inaurata madagascariensis
Lineage: Eukaryota; Metazoa; Arthropoda; Arachnida; Araneae; Nephilidae
Source: the annotation of a GenBank genome assembly
GUCCCUGUAGCGCAAUGGAUAGCGCGUUGGACUUCUAAUCCAAAGGUCUUGCGUUUCGAAUUUCACCUGGGAUG